GAUGAACGCUGGCGGCGUGCCUAAUACAUGCAAGUCGAGCGAACGUCAUAGAAGCUUGCUUCUAUGACGUUAGCGGCGGACGGGUGAGUAACACGUGGGCAACCUGCCUGUAAGACUGGGAUAACUUCGGGAAACCGAAGCUAAUACCGGAUAGGAUCUUCUCCUUCAUGGGAGAUGAUUGAAAGAUGGUUUCGGCUAUCACUUACAGAUGGGCCCGCGGUGCAUUAGCUAGUUGGUGAGGUAACGGAUCACCAAGGCAACGAUGCAUAGCCGACCCGAGAGGGUGGUCGGCCACACUGGGACUGAGACACGGCCCAGACUCCUACGGGAGGCAGCAGUAGGGAAUCUUCCGCAAUGGACGAAAGUCUGACGGAGCAACGCCGCGUGAGUGAUGAAGGCUUUCGGGUCGUAAAACUCUGUUGUUAGGGAAGAACAAGUACGAGAGUAACUGCUCGUACCUUGACGGUACCUAACCAGAAAGCCACGGCUAACUACGCGCCAGCCGCCGCCGUAA
This 514-nucleotide ribosomal RNA is filed under the name uncultured bacterium. RNAcentral describes it as "partial 16S ribosomal RNA". It matches the Rfam family "Bacterial small subunit ribosomal RNA", at positions 28 to 523 of the family's 1533-position model. The record is from RNAcentral.